Molecule: transfer RNA, 73 nt
Filed under: Clostridium sp. AF50-3
Lineage: Bacteria; Bacillati; Bacillota; Clostridia; Eubacteriales; Clostridiaceae
Description: tRNA-Thr
Rfam family: tRNA
About the family: Transfer RNA (tRNA) molecules are approximately 80 nucleotides in length. Their secondary structure includes four short double-helical elements and three loops (D, anti-codon, and T loops).
Source: RNAcentral
GCCUCAAUAGCGCAGCCGGCAGCGCAACUGAUUCGUAAUCAGUAGGUCGGCGGUUCGAAUCCGCCUUGAGGCU